RNAcentral lists this ribosomal RNA (1153 nucleotides) under Metabacillus idriensis. RNAcentral describes it as "bacterial SSU rRNA". It matches the Rfam family "Bacterial small subunit ribosomal RNA", at positions 51 to 1186 of the family's 1533-position model. The record is from RNAcentral. Lineage: Bacteria; Bacillati; Bacillota; Bacilli; Caryophanales; Bacillaceae.
AUACAUGCAAGUCGAGCGGACUUGCUGGAGCUUGCUCCAGCAGGUUAGCGGCGGACGGGUGAGUAACACGUGGGCAACCUGCCUGUAAGACUGGGAUAACUCCGGGAAACCGGAGCUAAUACCGGAUAGUAUCUUGAACCGCAUGGUUCAAGUUGGAAAGACGGUUUCGGCUGUCACUUACAGAUGGGCCCGCGGCGCAUUAGCUAGUUGGUGAGGUAAUGGCUCACCAAGGCAACGAUGCGUAGCCGACCUGAGAGGGUGAUCGGCCACACUGGGACUGAGACACGGCCCAGACUCCUACGGGAGGCAGCAGUAGGGAAUCUUCCGCAAUGGACGAAAGUCUGACGGAGCAACGCCGCGUGAGUGAUGAAGGUUUUCGGAUCGUAAAACUCUGUUGUUAGGGAAGAACAAGUGCGAGAGUAACUGCUCGCACCUUGACGGUACCUAACCAGAAAGCCACGGCUAACUACGUGCCAGCAGCCGCGGUAAUACGUAGGUGGCAAGCGUUGUCCGGAAUUAUUGGGCGUAAAGCGCGCGCAGGCGGUUUCUUAAGUCUGAUGUGAAAGCCCCCGGCUCAACCGGGGAGGGUCAUUGGAAACUGGGAAACUUGAGUGCAGAAGAGGAGAGUGGAAUUCCACGUGUAGCGGUGAAAUGCGUAGAGAUGUGGAGGAACACCAGUGGCGAAGGCGACUCUCUGGUCUGUAACUGACGCUGAGGCGCGAAAGCGUGGGGAGCGAACAGGAUUAGAUACCCUGGUAGUCCACGCCGUAAACGAUGAGUGCUAAGUGUUAGAGGGUUUCCGCCCUUUAGUGCUGCAGCUAACGCAUUAAGCACUCCGCCUGGGGAGUACGGUCGCAAGACUGAAACUCAAAGGAAUUGACGGGGGCCCGCACAAGCGGUGGAGCAUGUGGUUUAAUUCAAAGCAACGCGAAAAACCUUACCAGGUCUUGACAUCCUUUGCCACUUCUAGAGAUAGAAGGUUCCCCUUCGGGGGACAAAAUGACAGGUGGUGCAUGGUUGUCCUCACCUCGUGUCCUGAAAUGUUGGGUUAAUUCCCGCAACGAACGCAACCCUUGAUCUUAAUUGCCAGCAUUCAUUUGGGCACUCUAAGGUGACUGCCGGUGACAACCCGAAGAAAGGUGGGGAUGACGUC